ACCACUGAGCCACCUUUCCAGCCCAGCUGAGUUGUUUUUUAAAAAAUUUUCUACAGGGGCUGGGAAGGUGGCUCAGUGGU
Non-coding RNA from Dipodomys ordii (Ord's kangaroo rat), 80 nucleotides. Lineage: Eukaryota; Metazoa; Chordata; Mammalia; Rodentia; Heteromyidae. The record is from Rfam.